Molecule: ribosomal RNA, 279 nt
Filed under: uncultured bacterium
Lineage: Bacteria
Description: partial 16S ribosomal RNA
Rfam family: Bacterial small subunit ribosomal RNA
Source: RNAcentral
UGCCAGCCGCCGCGGUAAUACGGAGGGAGCAAACGUUGUUCGGAUUUACUGGGUGUAAAGGGUGCGUAGGCGGCCCUGUGUGUCAGAGGUGAAAUCCCACGGCUCAACCUCGGAACUGCAUUUGAAACUGGAAGUCUGGAGUUCAGGAGAGGUUAGCGGAAUACCGAGUGUAGAGGUGAAAUUCGUAGAUAUUCGGUGGAACACCAGUGGCGAAGGCGGCUAACUGGACUGAUACUGACGCUGAGGUGCGAAAGUGUGGGGAGCAAACAGGAUUAGAUA